AAGUGACGGUACCUGCAGAAGAAGCACCGGCUAACUAUGUGCCAGCAGCCGCGGUAAUACAUAGGGUGCAAGCGUUGUCCGGAAUUAUUGGGCGUAAAGAGCUCGUAGGUGGUUCGUCACGUCGGAUGUGAAAAUCUGGGGCUUAACCCCAGACCUGCAUUCGAUACGGGCGAGCUUGAGUAUGGUAGGGGAGUCUGGAAUUCCUGGUGUAGCGGUGGAAUGCGCAGAUAUCAGGAGGAACACCAAUGGCGAAGGCAGGACUCUGGGCCAUUACUGACACUGAGGAGCGAAAGCGUGGGGAGCGAACAGGAUUAGAUACCCUGGUAGUCCACGCCGUAAACGGUGGGCACUAGUUGUGGGGACCUUCCACGGUCUCUGCGACGCAGCUAACGCAUUAAGUGCCCCGCCUGGGGAGUACGAUCGCAAGAUUAAAACUCAAAUGAAUUGACGG
RNAcentral lists this ribosomal RNA (451 nucleotides) under uncultured bacterium. Its description in RNAcentral is "bacterial SSU rRNA". It matches the Rfam family "Bacterial small subunit ribosomal RNA", at positions 467 to 916 of the family's 1533-position model. The record is from RNAcentral.